Molecule: ribosomal RNA, 253 nt
Filed under: uncultured bacterium
Lineage: Bacteria
Description: partial 16S ribosomal RNA
Rfam family: Bacterial small subunit ribosomal RNA
Source: RNAcentral
UACGGGGGGGGCAAGCGUUGUUCGGAAUUACUGGGCGUAAAGGGCUCGUAGGCGGCCAACUAAGUCCGACGUGAAAUCCCCAGGCUUAACCUGGGAACUGCGUCGGAUACUGGUUGGCUUGAAUCCGGGAGAGGGAUGCGGAAUUCCAGGUGUAGCGGUGAAAUGCGCAGAUAUCAGGAAGAACACCCGUGGCUAAGGCGGUUCUCUAGUACGGUACUGACGCUGAGACGCGAAAGCGUGGGGAGCGAACAGG